AGUAAAACUGAUAAAUUUGAAUGUUGAGCUACACGGGGAGACAGCCAGCAGUGUCUAGAGUUAUUCUUUAGCUAUGGUUUUAGGGUUACGGUUUAUGGUUUCUCGCACAGGGUAGAGAAACAGCUUAACCAUACUUAUCUUAUUCUUUUGGGUUUAGAAACCAGGAAGUUUACAUUUUAAGUGGGUAGAGACUGAAAGGUAGUUAACAUGUUUAGCAGAUGCAAAAAAGGCUCAGGUAAAGUCCAAUCCAGGUGGGUUAUGGUGGAGUAUUAGUUUAAAACAGCUUUGCCUCAUGGAUUUCCUCACAUGACUUUUGAACUUUGAGCCGUUGGCACGUGUUGCCGUCCGACAGAGGACAGAGAUGACCGAGCACCUGAUGAAAAUACUGAUUGUUGGUGAUGGAAAUGUUGGGAAAUCCUCCUUUGUGCAUCGCUAUGUGGACGGCCAGUUCAACAAGACCUACAAGAUGACAGUAGGAGUGGAUUUUUCUGUGAAGCUGCUGCACUGGUCGGAUAAAGAAAAAGUCAGACUACAACUGUGGGACAUUGCAGGCCAGGAGCGUUUCAUUUCCAUGACCAGGGUCUAUUAUAAAGGCGCGUUGGGCUGUGUCAUCAUGUUUGACGUCACCAGCCCGUCCAGCUUCCGUAGCUGUCGCCAUUGGAAACAGGACCUAGACAACAAGGCUAUGCUGCCUAAUGGACAAUCCAUCCCCUGCAUCCUGCUGGCCAACAAGUGUGACUUAGCUCAGCGGGUUGUGUCAGCAGACAGCAUCGAUAGGUUCAGUAAGGUCAACGGCUUCAUUACAUGGAUGGAGACUUCAGUCAAAGAGAACAAGAACAUCGGAGAGGCUAUGAGGAGGUUGGUGCAGGAGAUUUUGUCAGUUGAGUCCAGUCUGGACCCGUUGGAGCCAGGACCUCAAGACAGCACUUAUUCCCAAAUGGACAACAGCAGAGGAGGAAGCUGCUGCUGAAGCACUGCUUUCACACUACAAUCGCAGGGACAAGCAAACACAGCCAGCGCCUGUUCAUUAGUUGUUUGAGGUGCCUGAGCAACUGAGCAAGGCACUUCCACCUCAAGUACUUAGUGCGGCUGUUCGCUAAUAGGAGGAGGCCAGUGGAGACAUCCUAGAUGCUGAUGUGGUAUUGUGACCUGAACGUGAUGCUAGAGAACCCGAAGCGUGUGAUACACACCAGUCCACUGUGGCAGUGUCACACUUUCAACAUAUUCUCAUUCUGCUGGUAAGAUAGACUUUCAAAAUAAAGCUUGCUUAAUUAGGUUUUGGCACGAAAACAUUUCUUUUUAGAUUUGGAAAAAUAUCGUAAGUUACAUUACAUUACAUUACAUUAAGUACAUUACAUAAGGAAAGUAAGUCAAAUUUGACUUUUGACAUCACACUGGACUCAAACAGCAGCCUCCUGGGUGAAGUCCUGUGUUUGAUCCAUCCAUCCACCCCAUCCACCUUCCUACCUGGACUUUGUCGCUCUUUAUACUGCACCGUCUAUUACGCGCUUUGAAAUGAGACUGGGCUGCAGGGGGUGACCAAGCAACAUAUGGACAGAAAAGACAGAUGGACAUAGCCACAACAAGGGCAACCCAGUCACACACACACACACACACACACACAGUAUUUUUGCACUCCUGUGGGGGAUUUUCUGUCUCUCUAUGUGUAGGCUUCUAUUCUUAUCACUGAGUUGGAGGAAGGCAGAAGCUCUUGGCCGUGACUCAGUCAUCCACAAAUGCUACAAUUCUGGAGAACCCUCAACCAAACGACCGGAUGUUGGACAGAUGGACAUUUUGUCAAUGUGCCUAUUUGUCAGGAUGUAAUAGUCACUACACAAUGAGUAGGUCAUCGUGCCCCAUCAUGUUGUUUUUCCCUUCCUCUCACAACAUCCCAGCGGUUACAAGGGCAUUUCAGCAGGACUCAUUAUAUGUAAAUGGAAACACUGGCUGCUGCAGAGAGAACAUUGUGGAGCUUUUCAAUGCUGGAACGUUCUCUCUGUUCAUGUGUGCCAGUCUCCAAAGUCCAGUGUGAAGUGGAAUCUAGUGCUGAGGUUGCAGUUUGCUACCAACUGAAUACCCCUCACCUCAACCCCCCUUUCCAAGCUUGUAGGAGAAACUACGGUGGCCACGAAACUCACAAAAAAGUUUUGGUUUGUCCGUUCUGGGCAACUGUAGAGACAUGGCGGUUCAGCAUGGUGGAAGAGGAUCCGCCCCCUCUGUAGAUAUAAAGGGCUCAUUCUAAGGUUACAACAUUUCAUACUGCAAGAAGUGGAGUUUAUUUAUUGCUUGCCAAGUUAUAUUUGGCCUGUUUGUUACCAAAUAAUAAAAAAUUGGAAUUUUAUAAUCAUCUUCAA
Dicentrarchus labrax (European seabass) is the source of this 2354-nucleotide RNA transcript. It is a transcript of the gene named ras-related protein Rab-7L1, with no coding region annotated. The transcript has 6 exons. Lineage: Eukaryota; Metazoa; Chordata; Actinopteri; Moronidae. The record is from RefSeq and is a predicted model, not a curated record.